GACGAACGCUGGCGGCGUGCCCAAUACAUGCAAGUAGAACGCACAGUUUAUACCGUAGCUUGCUACACCAUAGACUGUGAGUUGCGAACGGGUGAGUAACGCGUAGGUAACCUGCCUGGUAGCGGGGGAUAACUAUUGGAAACGAUAGCUAAUACCGCAUAAUAUUGAUUAUUGCAUGAUAAUUGAUUGAAAGAUGCUAUUGCAUCACUACCGGAUGGACCUGCGUUGUAUUAGCUAGUAGGUGAGGUAACGGCUCACCUAGGCGACGAUACAUAGCCGACCUGAGAGGGUGAUCGGCCACACUGGGACUGAGACACGGCCCAGACUCCUACGGGAGGCAGCAGUAGGGAAUCUUCGGCAAUGGACGAAAGUCUGACCGAGCAACGCCGCGUGAGUGAAGAAGGUUUUCGGAUCGUAAAGCUCUGUUGUAAGAGAAGAACGGGUGUGAGAGUGGAAAGUUCACACUGUGACGGUAUCCUACCAGAAAGGGACGGCUAACUACGUG
RNAcentral lists this ribosomal RNA (505 nucleotides) under uncultured bacterium. Its description in RNAcentral is "partial 16S ribosomal RNA". It matches the Rfam family "Bacterial small subunit ribosomal RNA", at positions 28 to 507 of the family's 1533-position model. The record is from RNAcentral.